RNAcentral lists this ribosomal RNA (468 nucleotides) under uncultured bacterium. RNAcentral describes it as "partial 16S ribosomal RNA". It matches the Rfam family "Bacterial small subunit ribosomal RNA", at positions 28 to 507 of the family's 1533-position model. The record is from RNAcentral.
GACGAACGCUGGCGGCGUGCUUAACACAUGCAAGUCGAACGGAAAGGCCCUGCUUUUGUGGGGUGCUCGAGUGGCGAACGGGUGAGUAACACGUGAGUAACCUGCCCUUGACUUUGGGAUAACUUCAGGAAACUGGGGCUAAUACCGGAUAUGAGCUCCUGCUGCAUGGUGGUGGUUGGAAAGUUUCGGCGGUUGGGGAUGGACUCGCGGCUUAUCAGCUUGUUGGUGGGGUAGUGGCUUACCAAGGCUUUGACGGGUAGCCGGCCUGAGAGGGUGACCGGCGACAUUGGGACUGAGAUACGGCCCAGACUCCUACGGGAGGCAGCAGUGGGGAAUAUUGCACAAUGGGCGGAAGCCUGAUGCAGCAACGCCGCGUGCGGGAUGACGGCCUUCGGGUUGUAAACCGAUUUCGCCUGUGACGAAGCGUGAGUGACGGUAAUGGGUAAAGAAGCACCGGCUAACUACGUG